Molecule: long non-coding RNA, 609 nt
Organism: Rosa chinensis
Lineage: Eukaryota; Viridiplantae; Streptophyta; Magnoliopsida; Rosales; Rosaceae
Exons: 2
Source: RefSeq, a predicted model, not a curated record
CAGACUUCUGAUCACCCACCUACUCAUUGACUUACUCUCACCUAUUUCAUCUUCCUCUGUUCUAGUCUACCCCAAAACCAUGCAUUGAAAGAAAAAUCUAAAUUUCAGACCCAAAGCUUGCUUCACUGAAUCGGUUUGCUCUCCCUUGCGUUCCAUUAAAAGCUUCACCAAUCUCACUCUUCUUCCUGUGUAAUCCUCAUCACCCACCGUAAAUACCUGAAGGAAAAUAUGGGUGUCUAACCCAUCAUUUGAGAUUGACCGUCUUAGGCUUGGAGUUGGAAUCGAUUAAGGUUGAACGGAGGAAGAGAUAAGAAUUUGGAGAAGUGGGUUCAAGUGUUCAUUGCCGAAAUUGGAAUUAAGAGGACGUUGGGUGUUGGGAAUCAGCGAACCCAUUCACUAAAUUGGUCAAGGAAGUUAAGCUGACAAUGAAUGGCAUAAUUAUAUUGGUGGUUUUGGUUCAUGCAUGUUGAGGUGAUGACGUCCUUAUGAGAAUUCAUGAAGCAUGUUUGGUUAGCUUGAUUCCAGUUUCUUGUUGAGAACUAUAAUUGACAUUUGGUUAUUCAACUUGUGGACUGUUGAUGUUUAUGAAUUCCAAUUGAAGUUCUGUUA